AACGAACGCUGGCGGCAGGCCUAACACAUGCAAGUCGAGCGCCCUUUCGGGGGUGCGGCGGACGGGUGAGUAACGCGUGGGAAUAUGCCCUUCUCUACGGAAUAGCCUCGGGAAACUGAGAGUAAUACCGUAUACGCCCUGUGGGGGAAAGAUUUAUCGGGGAAGGAUUAGCCCGCGUUGGAUUAGGUAGUUGGUGGGGUAAUGGCCUACCAAGCCGACGAUCCAUAGCUGGUUUGAGAGGAUGAUCAGCCACACUGGGACUGAGACACGGCCCAGACUCCUACGGGAGGCAGCAGUGGGGAAUCUUAGACAAUGGGGGCAACCCUGAUCUAGCCAUGCCGCGUGAGUGAUGAAGGCCUUAGGGUUGUAAAGCUCUUUCAGCUGGGAAGAUAAUGACGGUACCAGCAGAAGAAGCCCCGGCUAACUCCGUG
Molecule: ribosomal RNA, 431 nt
Filed under: uncultured bacterium
Lineage: Bacteria
Description: partial 16S ribosomal RNA
Rfam family: Bacterial small subunit ribosomal RNA
Source: RNAcentral